AAGUCUUCGUGUUGGCUUGGGAGGAGAUCAUGUAAUACAUGUUAGAAGGACACUUCAAGUUAAACACAUCAUCUGGUUAGACACAGAGUCAAUUUCACACAGGUGCUUUGAUAAAUGAAUUCUUCUGAUAGUUCUUAGUUGCUGAACAGUCAUAUAGCCACACACUUCUCUCUUCUGCUGAAAAAUGAGUUACAGCAAUGGGAAAGGAAAACUCUUCAUUUUAGGCUUACCUUUAAUAGCUAAACGGUCCAUGGAACUUCUUACAACUCAGCAUGAAGAAUUUCCACUGGCAGAAAAGUAUCUAUUUCCUCUGUAUCAAUUUUUGAAAACUGCCUACAUGAGAAGUCUAAAAAUCUCAAAAUACACAUCAGUGUGGUCAGCUGAGGUUUGGAGCCCUCCUUCUGCACCACCUAGCCUUGCUGUAGGACUGCUGAGAAAAGUCAGCUGAAUACUGAAGCAUUCCAAUGAAAGACUUCUGCAGUACUCAGAUCACUUUUUCAGCUGUUUCAAAUCACAGUGGCCCAUCUAACCAACGACACAGACCACAAACAGCACACAAGUCUGCGUUCUUUCUCUUCUCUUGUGCCUCAUUGACAACUGGGUCAAAUGCAAGUCUUCAUGCAUCUUUUCAAAAGCCUUGAACUGGGCUGGCUUAAAUUACUGAGUGCACUUUAUACUGUGUGACUCCCACAUCACUAACAUUCUGCUGGAAGGACAUACUUGUCAACUUCAAGUAAAUAUUGUGAACGCAGGGAACAAAAGCUUACUAAAGGACAGCCCGUGAUCCUGGGACGCACUCCUCAAAAGGCACGAAUGACCAGGACCAACAGUACCAGAGUGAAAGGCAGCGAGAUUUUCCUUUAUUUGCUCUCUCCCACAGCUGCAGCAGAGGAUCAAGGGAAGAAGCAGCCACUUAAUCAGCAAAUAAGCAGUGCACUACAGAGUGGGGAACUGUAUGCUACACUGAGCAGUUAAUUUAGCUUAUCCUUCGUUGAUUGAGGCUAGUCACAUGCAUAAAAUGAAAGACAGGGUUUUGCUGGACCCUGGAAAUGUUCAGCAUUUCAUAAGACUGCACAGUUUAUGUAGUUCCAGUUCAUCUGAGGUCAAAUGCCUUCACUUUUUGCUUGUCCUCCUCACUUACUUUUCCUGUGCCUUUAUUUCUCAGUAGCAGCGCUAAGUAGAUGAGAUUUAGGUGCUCAUUUUAGUUUGGCUUGUAGAACAGGUGACUCCCUUUUUUAAAUAUAUAUUUUAAUACUGUCAAGUUUUUAAAAUAUUUCUUUCUUUCCAUGUUUUUUUCAUUUCACUCAGUCUGUUAAGUGUGUACUGACGAAUUACCAUCAUGAAGCAUUAAUGUUAUUUAUGCUCAAGAAAUUUGGCUUAAAGUCCAAAUUCCUUUAUUUCAGAAAGAAAACAAACUAUUAUUUAUGAUGCUGUAGGCUGUUGUUUUAAUACUUCACAUUACUUAUAGUGUUCUAAAUAAUAAGGCUAUUUACAUAUUUUUUCUGUGUUUAUGGAAAACAAAUAUAUCUUUUAAGCUGUGUGCUUUUAAUGAUAAAGUUCUCCUUUAUGUACAUAUAUGAAAAGACCCCAAAACAGAAGAGACUGUUCUUUCUGUCAGACAGAACAGUUGUACAGCUGGUUAUAUUCUAAGAUGAAGUACUUUCACAGCUACACAGCUUCUUUAACUGUAAGUAGUGAUGCCCUCUCCUUCCAUUGCUUGCUGGUAUGAGGGGGAGUUUUCCCCAGUUUCUGUUACAAGCUCCUGGAAAAAGUCCAUUGUUUGAAAUUUUAAUUAGGGAUUUUCCAACAUUUGCUCAUGCUAAACUAUGCAGUAAAUACUGAGCCACAAAAUUCUAUUAUCAGGGUUUGCUUUUUAGCAAAUAAAUAAAUAAAUAAAUAAAUUUAAU
Gallus gallus (chicken) is the source of this 1907-nucleotide long non-coding RNA. NCBI's taxonomy places the organism in Eukaryota, Metazoa, Chordata, Aves, Galliformes, Phasianidae. The record is from Ensembl.